This 254-nucleotide ribosomal RNA is filed under the name uncultured bacterium. RNAcentral describes it as "partial 16S ribosomal RNA". It matches the Rfam family "Bacterial small subunit ribosomal RNA", at positions 524 to 776 of the family's 1533-position model. The record is from RNAcentral.
UACAGAGGGUGCGAGCGUUGUCCGGAAUUACUGGGCGUAAAGCGUGCGCAGGCGGUCUGUUAAGACCGAUGUGAAAUCCCCGGGCUUAACCUGGGAACUGCAUUGGUGACUGGCAGGCUUUGAGUGUGGCAGAGGAAGGUAGAAUUCCACGUGUAGCAGUGAAAUGCGUAGAGAUGUGGAGGAAUACCGAUGGCGAAGGCAGCCUCCUGGGCCAACACUGACGCUCAUGCACGAAAGCGUGGGGAGCAAACAGG